This 96-nucleotide ribosomal RNA is filed under the name Paenactinomyces guangxiensis. The record is from RNAcentral. Lineage: Bacteria; Bacillati; Bacillota; Bacilli; Caryophanales; Thermoactinomycetaceae.
GAUCCACUCGUUCCCAUCCCGAACACGACCGUUAAGCCCUCCAGCGCCGAUGGUACUUGGGGCGAAGGCCCCCGGGAGAGUAGGACGUUGCCAGGC